Long non-coding RNA from Lampris incognitus (smalleye Pacific opah), 671 nucleotides. RefSeq lists it as uncharacterized. The record is from RefSeq and is a predicted model, not a curated record. NCBI's taxonomy places the organism in Eukaryota, Metazoa, Chordata, Actinopteri, Lampriformes, Lampridae. The transcript is spliced from 3 exons.
GGGCUCGGUGUCAGCCUGGUCCCCGCUGGAGCCGCCGCCAGCUCCCUGUUCGUACCAUUUUUCACUGUCGCUGUGGCCACCGCUGGACGCUGUGCUGGAUAAAGUAUUGCUGCUGGAGUGACCGGAGUAGGGGCCAUCCGACUGGUGGCAGAAAGAGACAGGAAAGGAGAUGAGGGCGAUGUCCUUGGAUUUGAGGAGGAAGUUAUUUUAACAGUGUGAGACGACGGGGCGAAGACUCAAGUGACUCUGGAUGAAGGCAAACACCGAUUUUUGGAGCUGUUCAGGGUGAGCAGUGGACGGCUAAAGCGGCGGCGGACGCGGUUGUGCGAGGGGUGAACAGAGUCGAUCCGACGACCCUUGCAACCGCCCGGCCGUUUUCACACCCAAGCAGACGCCGCAGACUUUGGAAAGUUGCCCAAAAAAAAAGAUUCCCGGGCGGUUCCCAUCCCAACCUUGGAGAGGGGGCUUAACGAUACCUAUGCGACCCAAUGAGAUAUUUCAAACGGGAUUUUGUUUGAACCGCAACACAACUUACGAAUGACACAAGUGUGCGGAGCCUGCAGACGCGUCGCUGGAGCAGGAGAGGUUGCUGGGGGAGCUGCGGUUGUGAGGGGAGCGGCCCAGAGCAAAGGAGGAGGCCAGGCUGUAGCUGUCACUGCCCGGAGACAUCC